UGAAUACGAGACGCUAAGGCGUCGAAGUAGUGUAUGUCAUACUUCCAAGAAAAGCUUGCACUGUCAUAGAUAAAAAACGCCUGUACCAUAACCGACACAGGUGGGUAGGUAGAGUAUACUAAGGGGCGCGAGAUAACUCUCUCUAAGGAACUCGGCAAAAUAACUCCGUAACUUCGGGAGAAGGAGUGCCCUAUUCGUAAGGUUGCAAUAACAAGAUCCCAGCAACUGUUUAUCAAAAACACAGGUCUCCGCUAAGUCGUAAGACGAUGUAUGGGGGCUGACGCCUGCCCAGUGCCAGAAGGUUAAAGAAGUUGGUUAGCAAUUCGAAGCUGAUAACUGAAGCCCUGGUGAACGGCGGCCGUAACGAUAACGGUCCUAAGGUAGCGAAAUUCCUCGUCGGGUAAGUUCCGACCCGCACGAAAGGCGUAAUGAUUUGGAUACUGUCUCGGAGAGGGGCUCGGUGAAAUAGACUUGUCUGUGAAGAUGCGGACUACCUGCACCAGGACAGAAAGACCCUAUGAAGCUUUACUGUAACUUGAAAUUGAAAUUGGACUUUAUUCGCGCAGUAUAGGUGGAGGCGUUGAUUAUAAUCUUGUGGGAUUAUUGGAGCCAUCAGUGAGAUACCACUCUUGUAAUGUUAGAUUUCUAACUUUGAAUCAUUAUCUGGUCAAAGAACAGUUUCAGGCGGGCAGUUUGACUGGGGCGGUCGCCUCCUAAACGGUAACGGAGGCGUACAAAGGUUUCCUCUGAACGGUUAGAAAUCGUAUCUAGAGUGUAAAGGCAUAAGGAAGCUUGACUGUGAGACCUAAAAGUCGAGCAGGGACGAAAGUCGGUCUUAGUGAUCUGACGGUACUGAGUGGAAAGGCCGUCACUCAACGGAUAAAAGUUACUCUAGGGUAACAGGCUGAUCUCCCCCAAGAGUUCACAUCGACGGGGAGGUUUGGCACCUCGAUGUCGGCUCAUCGCAUCCUGGGGCGGUAGUACGUCCCAAGGGUUGGGCUGUUCGCCCAUGAAAGCGGUACGCGAGCUGGGUUCAGAACGUCGCGAGACAGUUCGGUCCAUAUCCGGUGUAGGCGUUAGAAUAUUGAGAGGAGCCUUCUUUAGUACGAGAGGACCGAGAAGGACAUACCUCUGGUGUACCAGUUAUCGUGCCAACGGUAAACGCUGGGUAGCUAUGUAUGGAGUGGAUAACCGCUGAAAGCAUCUAAGUGGGAAGCCCACCUCAAGAUAAGUAUUCC
This 1238-nucleotide ribosomal RNA is filed under the name metagenome. RNAcentral's name for it is "bacterial LSU rRNA". It matches the Rfam family "Bacterial large subunit ribosomal RNA", at positions 1564 to 2814 of the family's 2925-position model. The record is from RNAcentral.